Long non-coding RNA from Siniperca chuatsi (mandarin fish), 2665 nucleotides. RefSeq lists it as uncharacterized. The record is from RefSeq and is a predicted model, not a curated record. The transcript has 3 exons. Lineage: Eukaryota; Metazoa; Chordata; Actinopteri; Centrarchiformes; Sinipercidae.
UUCACAAGGUAAGUGUUGCUUUUCGCACCGGGAACUUAUGCUGAAUUUACAAGCUUUUGGUCACAACACAAGUUACACUGGAAGUCAAAGCUUCUGUGUCACUUUCUUCUUCAGUAUUUGAUAAAAAGGAUUCCUCAUCAUCUGUCAUUUGAGAUGAUGUAUGGAAGCAGCUAACAAGUGAGCCGUCUCGCUUCCUGCUCAUCUCUGCUGAGAGCUGCACAUGCUCAGUACCGAUCGGGCAGGAUGUUUACGUAUGGAGCAAAACCGCCGAUCAUCUCUUUCACAAAUCAGCGUUUUCUGCUGUGAGCUCCGACCAGCUGAGCAGCUUUUUAACACAUCUGGCUGUCGACAGUCACAAGCAGGAAGUGCUCUGCUGAACAUAUGUUUCUGUCAACGCUGAAACGUAGAUUUGACAAUGAAAACCGUCAGUUUAACGCUGCCUGGACCGGCAAGUGUUUGUUUAAUUUAAACUCCAAACAUCUGCUAUUUUUUAUUACAUUAAUUUGCAUUUGUUUAAAACGUGUCAUUACCAAAAACAAAAAAAGGUUUUAAAUAGGCUGCUGAAGAUGUCUGGCCCGUCUACACUUCCUGGUUUUAAAAUCUGGCCCAGUUGAAUCUGUAAUCGGACAGCCCUGUGUUGGAGUAAACUAUAACUGUUUCCUGCUUCCAGGCCAGCACAUCGCUACAGUUACCUGCAACAAGGGAUGUUUCCUGCCAGACCGACCCACCACAGAGACCCUCUGCUGGACUCUCAUCAGAAGUGCAGCUGUCCAGGCUACUGUGUCCUGCAAAGACUUUGCUGUUGGCACAUCCACUGUUCCCUGUGCUGAAGCUGAGCGUCACCGCUGUAAUCCCAUGUUUCUACAUAAAGAGUUCGACCAUCUGAUGAAGCUCGUGUUUGAUGAGGUGUUCAGGACCCACCAGACUCUGAGAAACCAUCAGAGGAGGAAGUUAUUGCAGGCAGGCGGCGGCCUGAAGACAACACAGCGUCCAGCAGCAUCAGGACGUCUCGGUAUCCACAGGAGGACACGUCAGGAUGACCACUGUGACCUGUGACCUCCAGUACCAGCUGACACAAACCCUGUCCCCCGAUGGAGGACAUGAUCUGGACAGUUUAUAUAAAGGUUAUGGCUUAGCUACUUGGUGCUUUAUACAGUAUAUUCCCAGUUUACUGUGUAGUGCUUAAUUUUUAAGGAGGGUUUUGGUCAUUUUUAAAUUUAGUAAUGGUCCUGUGGUAUUACAUAAAUAUAUCAUGUUCUUUCACAAAGGUUUUAGGUAAUUACACUUUCUAAACAGGUGAUAUAAAAACGUAUUUGAUUUCAUGCAUGUUGAAGGUUAAAAACAGGUUCUUUUAAUAUGCUGGCUAUGAAAAUGUGACAGUUUUGUAGAGGCGGUUGUAGGCAUUUACACCUUUCAGAGAUCGGAUAUCUGAUCCACACAAGACACAGGAAGUGACGCAGAGUAAACGAGGUCUGCACAGCGUCUGCCUGCAGCACACGGCCAUCGUUGAUGCUCAGGUUGAUCAAAACCAAGAGACUCGUUUUAUCAGACUGGAAAUCCUCCUCGGUACCAACUGUAGUUUUGUCCUUUUCUUUAUUUAAUGUUUGAAAAAUGAACAACAGACAAGAUAAAAAGAAAAGAAAAAAAGACACGCAUAGGAUUUCAACAACUGAAAAGCCAGUAAGUGGACUUUGAGUUAAAGUCAAUAAUUCACACUCAGUUUAAUAAUUAAACUGUUUUUAUGAUGUUAAAUGUGAAAUUUAAUUUGUUGAGUUCUUCAGAUGAUUGAAACCAAACAUCAACAGAUUGACUUUAAUGAAAAGAGAAACCCUAAUUUAAUAACAGCCAUCUGUCAGAGCACACCCCUGCUUUCUACUGUAAUCCUGUUCCUCCUCCACCUGUGUGUGUGUGUUAGCUGCUGUAAUUAGCAUGUCUUAUCUCGACUGGACGCUGCGAGCUAAAUGCCAUCCCGUCUCUGUGAUCUUCGUCGAUAAACUCAGAAUGAAAGGUUCUCUGAAUCAGGUGCAGCUCGUCUUUGAUUGGACGAUCAUGCUGAGCUCAGCUGAUGAAAACACACAGCUGGAGGUCGACAGCAGAGGAGGAGGCAUAAAAUAAAAUACAAGUUUCCUUCACCAGGUGACAAAAUAGAGUAAAAACAAGUCAGAUCCACAUAAAAGACAGAAAGUAGAAGAAGUUAUAAUAAAGAAAAUUUACUCACAUUCAAAAUAAAAAUCAACUGAAUCAAGAAGAAAGGAAACAACUGACUCGCUAAUCAACCUGCUAACUAACCUGCUAACCUGCCAACUGCUAAAUGACUUUCUAACUGCUAACUCUAAGAUCUGUGAACACAUUUAAAAAGCAGCCCAAGACCUGCCUGUUUAAACUUUAAUUAGUUUAGACUUGUUUAUUUUAUGUUUUAACAUUUUACUAAUGCUACUUGCUAACUGCAGAGUUCAUUACAGCCCCAAUAUCGAUCUGUUCUCAGAGGAGCUAAACAUGUAAAUGUCAUUAAUCUAAAGGGUUGUAGUUUGUCAGUGGCUCUGUGGAGGCAACUGAGAGUUCCUAGUGGUUCCUAGAGUCUCCAAAAGUAGACCGGGAGCCAGAGCCUUCAGGUAUCAAGCUCCUCUCCUGUGGAACCAGGUCCCAGUUUGGGUUCGGGAGGCAG